CCGCGCCGCGCUCCCGGCUCCGCCGCUGCCCCUCGCCGGCCGCCGCCGCCAGCAGCAGCAACAGGUCCGUGCCCGCUCCUCCCUCCGCCCGCCGGGCGAACAAAGGGGCUGAGCGCGGCCCCGCGCCCGCCCGGCCCCUGCGCUUCAGCCAUUUGCCUGGGCUGGCAGCGCGGCGCCGCUCGCAGCCGCCUCCCGCUGCCGCUGCCGGGCGCGGCGCGGGGCCGCUGCCCGCGGGAGCUGCCCCGGAGCGGAGCGGGGCCGCCGGCCCGGAGGUGAGCGGGGGGGGCGGCGGGACGGAGCGGGCCGGGCUCGCGGAGCCUCCGGGCAGCGCUGGUGCGGGAGCUGCGAUAUCCGCGGAUCAGGACCAAUUGAUGGCAAUGCUGCACCCUUUCCUUCAUCCUAAAAUGCUCCUUGGAUGCUAACUGGCAGUUUUGGCUUCGGAAAGAUUACAAGACUGGGGGAAUGCAUAUGAGGAACACUGAUGUGACGAGAACUUCCUGAAGGUCAUGCAAAGUCAAAUUUGGCUAGUGGGGAAUCGCCUUCCAGAAUAGACUGCAGCCUCAGCCUUCCAGUGAAACAGUUGCACAAGGUGAAUACAUUUUGACAGUACUCGUAAGGAUCUGCCCUUAAAGGAGAUUUUUGCUCAUCACCCGGUGCAGUGUAGGGGGGACCAGUUAUCUUGAGGAGGA
This 689-nucleotide long non-coding RNA is filed under the name Chloebia gouldiae (Gouldian finch). RNAcentral describes it as "Erythrura gouldiae (Gouldian finch) lncRNA (ENSEGOG00005001302.1)". The record is from RNAcentral. Lineage: Eukaryota; Metazoa; Chordata; Aves; Passeriformes; Passeridae.